RNAcentral lists this small RNA (119 nucleotides) under Arabidopsis thaliana (thale cress). RNAcentral's name for it is "ATSL238460". The record is from RNAcentral. Lineage: Eukaryota; Viridiplantae; Streptophyta; Magnoliopsida; Brassicales; Brassicaceae.
AGCACCAGGCUUUGCCCAAACAGAUGAUACAGCAGCCGCCAUGAUUGGAUUCUUCUUCUCUUCUUCUCUUCUUCUGCUUCUUCUUCUUCUUCUUCUCUUCUCUUCGUGUGAAUCAAAAA